Molecule: long non-coding RNA, 1119 nt
Organism: Cydia pomonella (codling moth)
Lineage: Eukaryota; Metazoa; Arthropoda; Insecta; Lepidoptera; Tortricidae
Exons: 2
Source: RefSeq, a predicted model, not a curated record
GCCCUUUCUUUAUUUACCCACUUAUUCAUAAAACAAAGCAGCAUAUAACAAACCUCUGUGAAAUUUUGUCUCUUCCAUACAAACAGAAAUAUCAAAAUGGUGGACGGGAACAAAGGAUUAUCAACGUUUUGCAAGAUUUGAUAGAUGUUUAUGAUUAACGACAUAUCGCUCCUCUUCUAGAAUCUAUCUAAGGCUAAGGUAUAACUCUGCAUCAACUUCGACGUGACAAGACCUGUGGUUAUAAAUGUCUUAUUUUCAUAGGAAUUUGACGUAUAAGGUGACAUUUCCACACUUAGCAAAUUCUGUGUAGAAUUAGCUUGAUCGGAGUCUAUGCUCUAGCGAAUAAUGAAUUCGAUGAUUUGGUCACACCCAGAUAUAAAGGUCACCUUGAGAGUUCGUCUCCCUCCACAACAGAUAAAAAUAGGCCUAAAUUAGAUUUCGCAAAACUUUUGUGAGUGAAGGUCGUGUAAGCAACAAAUACAAUAGAUUCAGUGAAUAAUUAAGGACCUAUAAAGACAUUAAGAAACGAAGUGUCAUUGCAUUGGAAGCAGGCCAGCCCGGACCAUUUUGUCAAGACUUCAAGAGUGUAACGCUAAAGAAGGAAAAAGCAGAAAGGAAACAAUCAAGUUGUGCUGAUGAAGAGAUGAGUUACCACUUACAUCAUGGCCAUGGUGGUUCGAGAAAUAGCUCCCCAUGGCCUGUGUUAAUAGCAAUUGUCGCAUUCGUCAUAAUCACGGGCAUCAGUGUAUACUGCUACUACUACUGCUGCAAGUCCUGCAAGUGCAAGAAACGAAGCAACGACACUGGAAGAUGUCUGCCUCUGGAAGUUUGAGUAGGGUAGCGAUAUAUGAAGAUCAGCGUCACUAGGUUUGCGAGGUGCACCCUACUCGAACUAUAAGUACCUUAAAGCCCAACUCAGGGUUACAGUGCUACAAGAAACUCUACAAAUUGAACAAAAUGGAACUAAAGGCGAAACAUUAGUGGCAACUUGAUUGCCAUAACAAUUUUUGACUAAUUAUUAUAAACAUGAUUAUUUUAAAAUAUUUUUGUUUUUAACUACUUAGUUAUUUUGCGACGAAAAGACAUAGUAAGCAUUAAAACUAAUAAAACACAUCAUCA